RNAcentral lists this long non-coding RNA (2987 nucleotides) under Rattus norvegicus (Norway rat). Its description in RNAcentral is "long non-coding RNA NONRATT009597". Lineage: Eukaryota; Metazoa; Chordata; Mammalia; Rodentia; Muridae. The record is from RNAcentral.
AACCCCAGUCUUUCCCUUUUGGCAUAGCUUUUAUGAUGAGACCACAAUUUUACACAACAAAAUGUUACAACAAGCAACUGACCUCUCCGCAGAGGUGAGCCCUGCUGCAGUUCUUAGAGCUCAUAAAGAAGAAAGUCUUCCCUGAAGGCACCACCGUGUUGCUGAGCUGCCUUUCCUAGUGUCCUUUCCCUGGGGCUUUUGUUUCCUGUUGCCAAGAGCUGCGAUGGCAUCUUUGUGAUCAGCACACCUCGACUCCUCUCCUGACAUCUGUGACCAGAGCCAUAGCUCACCACCUUAUGUCAUGGUGUCCAAUCUGGUUGCUUUCUCUAAUUAACUGCUAUUUUAACUACACUUUACAAAGCUGUUAUUCCCAAACACACAGACAGGGAUUUCUCUGCACGUUUCUGGCCUCCUCUGUGUGCAGGUCCCGUAAGCAGCAGCUCUUUCUCGAGUGGUUCCCCCACACGUGCACCGGUGAGAUGCGGUCCUCCGCUUUAGCGUAUCAUGCCUGUUGCUGAAGCCACCUCUGUCUCGCGGCUCUUCAUUGCAGGGAACUUGAGCUGUUGAGUGCAGGUUCCAACCUACAUUGGUAUGCAGAUGGCUUCCCUAGAAAUGACUUUUAUAUUUAUUUAAAAACCUUAAAUUAUGGGAUUUUGUUUCUGUUUUUGUUGUCUUUGUUGGUCAUUUGUCAAUGUACAGUCACCAACCAAUUCUGCUCACUUCUUGCCAUGGAUAAAAUGGGUCUUUCUGGCCAAUUAAAAAGAUAAAUUUUAUAAAUGGCACUUUAAACAAGCCAUAGAUAGUUUUAUUUUUAUAAUGCACAUGGCAAGCAAAUGCAUUUGUGAUGGCGGAACUGCUCAUCCAAGUAGAAGAUUUGUGGACGGCGUGGUGUGAUUAGUCUCUGACUUGCCUUUCUUCAAAGUGUCCGGCAGGCUGAUUAUCAGCUCCAGAGCCGUGAGAAGCUGAUGCCGAGGUUCUCCCACAGGCGCCCUCCACACGGCCUCUCACUGGCCUCUCACACCUAUGUCUCCUCUCGUGUAGGACCAGGAACCAUAUGUAAUGUGAGGGUUGUACAUGCUUCCAAGUGUCAUUGUGCCUCUCCAGUUUAAGAACUUCUCUUUCUUGUAGAGAGUGGGUCCGACAUACUCUGUUUUACAACGGGAGGAUCCCGUGAACUGGCCACAUGCCACACACAUCUGCAUACAUGUGCAUGUACAGUAGUGUUGAUUAUUCCCAGCAAAACGGCAAAAAACAAUUGAUGGCCGUUGUCAAACACUGACUUACAGUAACUUAGAACAACUGUACUUCUGUUGGAUUAGCAAAUCGUGUGUUUAAACAAUCCCAUAUGUUGGGCAACAGUUCAAAUAAGCACAGAGAAACAUUGCCCAAACUUGGUUCUCUAACUCUAGUGCAUUUGUAAGGCUGGGCUUCAAAAUCAAAACACCCACCCCCAACACUGGCAGGCAAAGUGCUAAUUCUUGAAACAUGCAUGGGAAGCUGACGGCCAUUUUCAGGAAGAGCAAGCCCACCAAGAGUUGACCGUCUGUGUGUCCUAUUUAUAUUGAGCAGUGUCCCAGCAGGGAAGGGUUGGAGCCAGGACAAGAUCCCCCAGUCCCGGUGGGAGUCGGGGACUGGGCCUCCAGACACUUUCUGGAGGUAACAGCUCGCCUUCACAAAGACAGUCUUGUGGCACCCAGAACCAGGCAGACAGCCUGGGGUGCCCGGGCCCGGAGAGGUGGUUGGCAGUGACGUGCAAUGACGUGACAAGGUGAGAGUAGACUCCUGAGAGACUUAAAGGGAUGGCUUCCCCAUAACUUAUUUAUUCCUUUUUUUUUUCUGUGUAAAUAUAUUUAUUUUACUGUGGCGCUCUAAUAACAUCCGGGUGGGUAUGGUGCAGAAUGUAUGUAGGAAUGUAUUGCUUGUAGGAAUGUAGAUCUGUAUGUAUUAAAAGGGGGAGCCAAGCCAGCCCCCACCUGUCUUUUCAUCAGAUACACAGUCCACAUUCAUUCUUAACUCUCAUCUUCAAUAUGGGUCUAUUUAAAAUAUGCAAAAAGGUGUGGAUGAGGAAUGUUCUAAUACCUCCAAAUUUUUAAGAAAAUCAAGCAUAAAAAGGGUUGAUAAUUUUUUAAAGUUUUCUUAGUAGCACUUUCUCUUGAUGACGGAAGGGCAACACACAGGCACCCACCUUCAUACCAAAGGGUGAGAAAUGGCCACAGCCUCCUACACCACCCCAGUGUCUUUCGCAAUUGAGCUUUUUAUCGCCAUAGCCCCAACCAUCCUGAGGUCAAUCAAGGAAAAUUUCUUAACGACGUAAGCUCCAAAGAGCCAAAGUAUCAACUUAUGGAUCAUUUUUAAAGCCUAAAUUUCUUACCACCUUUGCAGUAGACAAUGAAUUAUGAACACUGCAAGGGCAGCCUUCUUAAAUGACAGACACAAAGACUGCAGCGAUCGCUGCUCUACUCUGUGAAUUGUCUUAACUCUGAAACCUUGCUCUUACAGAUUGAACCUUUUUACAUUUCUGAAAAUAGCAGAAAGAGCAUAUUUGACUUGUCCUAGCUGUAAGUGGUUGAUUCUUGUUGCCGCCCAGCACCCGGAUGCCAGCGGGGUCUUCGUCCGCUCGCCCAUGUGCGACUGUCUCCAGUGCUUCCAAGGGUGGCUCUACACGGCUCUCAGCCGCGAUCAAACGCUCUUGCAGACAAAGCCAGUAUAGAUUUUGGACUUUUGGGGAAUUUGGGAGAGGAGCAGUCCAUACGUUACAGCUAAAGUGUUGAACGUGUACAUGGGGACGUGUUGGUGCGUGGAUUUUGAGGAAGAAGGUGUGACCUUUCCCCACAGUCCUGAGAGCUGUGCCUUUUCUAUGCAAUAUUACAGACGUCACAUCAGAACCCAGAGGGCUGUGUUCUAAACAAUUGGACAGAUUAAAUGUACAUGGAAAUGAGCAGUCUUUUGUAGUUUUAUAUUAUACAAUAAACAGUUAAAAGAUGAAA